RNAcentral lists this non-coding RNA (31 nucleotides) under Mus musculus (house mouse). The record is from RNAcentral. Lineage: Eukaryota; Metazoa; Chordata; Mammalia; Rodentia; Muridae.
UCAUAGAUUUAUAGGACUAUCAGUUCAAGUC